AGAAAGUCACAAGAUCUUAUUAAAACAAAAAAUUAUACUAUAUAUCUUAAAGUAUUUUUACACAACAUUUUAGUAGGCAAGUGAGCAUUUUUUAUAUUAUUUAGACGUUAUGAUAGAAUUUUCAUACCUUAUUACCAUUUACCACCACAAAUAUUUGUUACACAUUAGGGACAUAUUUGAUACAUUACUUGAUUUAGCAUAAGCCCUCAUUUAUAACAAACCCUACAUCUAAGAUGUUUAUUCUCUAAACCCAUUUGUUGCGCCUCUUGUGUCUUUUAUCAUCCUCAUCCUUUAUUUUAUUUUUUUCUCACUGGUUUCUUCUUGGUUUGAAUGGUCGCGGUCAACGGCCGAUCAUAGUUGGAAUUGGCCAAGAUUACACAGAACCAACGAUGUUAUGAUUUGUUCAUAAUAUGGUUACAAUUUUGAAGUGAUCGUACUCGAUCUUGCUGCAAUACACAAGUCUGCUUAAGACCUGGAUUGUUCGGGUCAGUGGGAUUGCAGAGCCAUAAGAUUUUAAGAUCUAGAUCGAAAUCUUGACAAACAAGACUCGAUGUACUGCCAUAUCACAUGAAUGAAGUAUUUGUGGAAUAUACAAAACUAUUUUAAGAGCAGCAGACUCACCUGUCCAUGCAGACCCCAGCCAAAAGUAAGAAGAGCUCCAGCAUCUACAAAAGCCAUUUAAAACACAAGACUGCAUAUUAUGACAGCAGUCAAAUUCUGACCUGUUAUCACAACGCUAUGCCGACCUCCGCAUGCUAUUUCUACGACAUAACUCCCAGGACUUUGAACUCCAGCACUGCCCCCUUGGUGAAAAGAUGGCCUAUCCUUCCCAGAAUGAG
Molecule: long non-coding RNA, 839 nt
Organism: Lathyrus oleraceus (garden pea)
Lineage: Eukaryota; Viridiplantae; Streptophyta; Magnoliopsida; Fabales; Fabaceae
Exons: 3
Source: RefSeq, a predicted model, not a curated record